AGUGAACGCUGGCGGUAGGCCUAACACAUGCAAGUCGAACGGCAGCACAGUAAGAGCUUGCUCUUACGGGUGGCGAGUGGCGGACGGGUGAGGAAUACAUCGGAAUCUACUUUUUCGAGGGGGAUAACGUAGGGAAACUUACGCUAAUACCGCAUACGACCUACGGGUGAAAGCAGGGGAUCUUCGGACCUUGCGCGAUUGAAUGAGCCGAUGUCGGAUUAGCUAGUUGGCGGGGUAAAGGCCCACCAAGGCGACGAUCCGUAGCUGGUCUGAGUAGAUGAUCAGCCACACUGGAACUGAGACACGGUCCAGACUCCUACGGGAGGCAGCAGUGGGGAAUAUUGGACAAUGGGCGCAAGCCUGAUCCAGCCAUACCGCGUGGGUGAAGAAGGCCUUCGGGUUGUAAAGCCCUUUUGUUGGGAAAGAAAAGCAGCAGGUUAAUACCCCGCUGUUCUGACGGUACCCAAAGAAUAAGCACCGGCUAACUUCGUG
This 492-nucleotide ribosomal RNA is filed under the name uncultured bacterium. RNAcentral's name for it is "partial 16S ribosomal RNA". It matches the Rfam family "Bacterial small subunit ribosomal RNA", at positions 29 to 507 of the family's 1533-position model. The record is from RNAcentral.